RNAcentral lists this long non-coding RNA (395 nucleotides) under Sorghum bicolor (sorghum). RNAcentral describes it as "long non-coding RNA (SBIC_LNC013459)". The record is from RNAcentral. Lineage: Eukaryota; Viridiplantae; Streptophyta; Magnoliopsida; Poales; Poaceae.
ACGAAUUUUGACCGAAUUUUUGACAAAUUUGGUCCGAUUUUUUUUAAGAAAACAGAACAGAACAGAGAAAUCAAUUAAAAACGAUCAACUACAGCAGCAGUGCUUGCACGGCCACUGGCCCUCAUCUGGCUGAUGCCGCUGCUACCAGUAGCAUGGGGAUUUGGUUUGCAUGGCACCACAUGCCCAGAAUGAACCACUACAGCAGCAAUGGAUGAUUGGAGAUUAGGGAUUGGGAAGGAUUCAGGAUAUGGCUGUAGGAGAGGAGAGGAGUGGAAGGGGAGACGAUGGGGAAGGAGAGCACUCGAACGGGAGAUCCGACGCCGCGCCUUCACAUGGUCGCGAGCAUGCGCGCUAGGCGAGCCGCCGGCCUGCCGCCGUCUAGACGAUGGGGAGGG